GACGAACGCUGGCGGCGUGCCUAAUACAUGCAAGUAGAACGCACAGUUUAUACCGUAGCUUGCUACACCAUAGACUGUGAGUUGCGAACGGGUGAGUAACGCGUAGGUAACCUGCCUGGUAGCGGGGGAUAACUAUUGGAAACGAUAGCUAAUACCGCAUAAUAUUAAUUAUUGCAUGAUAAUUAAUUGAAAGGUGCAAUUGCACCACUACCAGAUGGACCUGCGUUGUAUUAGCUAGUAGGUGAGGUAACGGCUCACCUAGGCGACGAUACAUAGCCGACCUGGGAGGGUGGUCGGCCACACUGGGACUGGGACACGGCCCAGACUCCUACGGGAGGCAGCAGUAGGGAAUCUUCGGCAAUGGACGAAAGUCUGACCGAGCAACGCCGCGUGGGUGAAGAAGGGUUUCGGAUCGUAAAGCUCUGUUGUAAGAGAAGAACGGGUGUGAGAGUGGAAAGUUCACACUGUGACGGUAUCUUACCAGAAAGGGACGGUUAACUACGUG
RNAcentral lists this ribosomal RNA (505 nucleotides) under uncultured bacterium. Its description in RNAcentral is "partial 16S ribosomal RNA". It matches the Rfam family "Bacterial small subunit ribosomal RNA", at positions 28 to 507 of the family's 1533-position model. The record is from RNAcentral.